CUAGAGAAAAAGCUGGACCAAAAAUCCACACCUAUCGGUUGUCAAAAGCGGCACAGGCGGCGGGUCUGUAGCUCAGUCGGUUAGAGCAUCGUCUUGAUAAGGCGAGGGUCGUUGGUUCGAUUCCAACCAGACCCACCAGGAAACGGCGACCCGUCCAGUGGCGACCGAAGCAAGUGCGGCAGCGCACCGUUGGCCGGUCCAAAGGCGGAAAAACCAUCGCGCAAACGAUCAAACAAACGAGCGGGGGAUUAGCUCAGCUGGGAGAGCACCUGCUUUGCAAGCAGGGGGUCGUCGGUUCGAUCCCGUCAUCCUCCACCACCUGUCCGCCCUGGAGGCAUCAGGCGUCCUCAUGGUUUUAAAAACCGUGAGGACGCCUGACUCCUUCAGGAGUUACGCUCUUUAACAAAAUGGAAGAAGGUUUAGUGUUGCGUGGCUCGCAAGAGUUGGGCAACACGGUGAUGAUUGCAUCAAACCCUGGGUAACCAGGGACGCAAGCAGUUAAAAGUAAAGUCUAAGGCCGGCGUUCUCCGAGGAGAGCGCAAGGUUAUAG
RNAcentral lists this transfer RNA (550 nucleotides) under uncultured bacterium. RNAcentral describes it as "16S-23S intergenic spacer". The stretch from base 62 to 135 matches the Rfam family "tRNA". The record is from RNAcentral.